UGGGGAAUCUUGGACAAUGGGGGCAACCCUGAUCCAGCGACGCCGCGUGGGUGGUAAGGCCUUCGGGUUGUAAAGCCCUUUCAGCGGGGAAGAUGAUGACAUUACUCGCAGAAGAAGCGCCGGCUAACUCCGUGCCAGCAGCCGCGGUAAGACGGAGGGCGCUAGCGUUGUUCGGAAUCACUGGGCGUAAAGGGCGCGUAGGCGGCUGUCUAAGUCGAGGGUGAAAGCCCGGGGCUCAACCCCGGAACGGCCUUCGAGACUGGAUGGCUAGAGACCGGAAGAGGAGGGGAGAAUACCCAGUGUAGAGGUGAAAGUCGUAGAUAUUGGGUGGAACGCCAGUGGCGAAAGCGGCUCUCUGGUCCGGAUCUGACGCUGAGGCGCGAAAGCGUGGGGAGCAAACAGGAUUAGAUACCCCCGUAGUCC
RNAcentral lists this ribosomal RNA (423 nucleotides) under uncultured prokaryote. Its description in RNAcentral is "bacterial SSU rRNA". It matches the Rfam family "Bacterial small subunit ribosomal RNA", at positions 355 to 796 of the family's 1533-position model. The record is from RNAcentral.